GAAUCCCCUGCGGCCUCCGGCACUGUCCUGCGGCCUCUGGGAAUAACGGAACCGGCGGGAAGAGGAAUAGCGGGGCGCAGCCGCUGGGGUUGGAAAAUGGUGAGGAGUUUAUUGCAGUGUCUCCCAGCAGGGUGAUUAGAAACAUACAGGUACAGGACGGCUGGCGCUUCGACACCAAUGGGGAAAUGACAUCAUACAUAGCAGUGUUACAAGUGGUUCUGCCAUGAAGACGCUUUACUUUAAUGCUGCAAAACAAGAAGAUAGCACAGCGUGGAAAGUGGAGGUCAUUCCCCAUGGUGAGGAGGAUCUGUCUCAUAGCAAGCUCCUGCAAGACACCACAAGAUUUGAUGUCCCAUGUACAAGUGAGCAGGAGAAUCCACACCACAGAGACCAGAGGCGGUUUACCUGCCCACACCUACUGUGUGACAAGACCUUUGCAUCCAAAUACAAACUCUGCAGGCACAUGGCCACACACUCUAUGCAGAAGUCACAUCAAUGCUCGCACUGUGGCAAAAUGUUUCAUAGGAAAGAUCAUUUAAAGAAUCACCUCCAGACUCACAAUCCUAAUCGAGUUGCCCUUCAGUGUCCAGAAUGCAGCAAAAACUACAGCACCAAGUAUGGGCACCGCCGCCACCUUGCCUUACAUGCCAUUGCCAGAGGUGACCUCAGCUGCACCAUUUGUCUUCAGGUGUUUAGAGACCGUCAGUCUGUGCUGGAGCAUCUGAAGAGCCACAAUCACAGACCAUCAGUGGGCAACAGAGAGAAGAAAUACCCAUGUGAGCACUGUGAUCGGUGUUUUUACACACGUAAAGAUGUACGCAGACACCUGGUGGUACAUACUGGGCGGAAGGAUUUCCAGUGUCACUGCUGUGCUCAAAUGUUUGGACGCAAGGACCACCUGACACGGCAUAUCAAAAAGAGUCAUUGUGAGGAAGCACCACGGAUUAAAAUGGAGCCUCCAGAUGAGUUGAGCCAUAUGAGUUGCCGAUCAGCAGUUGUGAAGGAAGAGAUGGGAUCCAUCAUGUGCAUGCAGCCAAGAGACAUGAUACCAGGAGGAAUGUACACUACACCAUUUCAACCCAUGGCGAAUCCCGGCAUUCACCACUCUCUAGUGCCAAGCUCAUUGUCCUUAGGAUUUAACUACCCCACAGAGAGUACAUCUUCCUUCUCUACAGACCCAUCCAACAGGUUCCAGUAUACAUCUACCUCAUAUCUUCCCAAAAGUGAAAUGGAUCCUUUUGUGUCUGAUGGGCCUGGGGGACUCUGUCUUUCCUCCGGCGAGUUGUCCUCCUUUACACCUCAGGCUACAUUUGAUGAAACGUUUCUCUCCACUCUGUGUGAGCCCCUGUCCUCGGGUGUGGAUUUCAGCCAUUUCCUCAGCUUUUUGCCCAUUAAUAUCCCUCCUUGUAACAUGCCAGUGUCAGCCCCAGAAAUGACCAUAGGAGAAAAUCAGCAAUUUCUUGCUUCUCUCAGCCACAUGCAGACUUCUACCAGCUCCAUCGCUGGAGAUCUGACUCUGCCUCAUUAUACCUCAGACAUUAAUUCUACCACAUUGCCUCAGUUUCACCAAGCCUUCAAGUAAACAUGGUGAGACCAUUUCUUCUCUUACCUCAUAUUGCCCUUGGACAUUUUGUCACCAUGUUUAAGGUGAAUGUUUGUUUUCCUGUUGUAUCAACUCCUAGGAGUCUUGGGUGACAAUGUAUUUGUCCAGUUUUCAAGAUAUCAUCUCCUUCCAGUUGUACAAAAAACAGAUCAUCUUACCUCAAGAUCAGAGACCGCACCAUUCCACACUUAGUGGAAAUCUGCAACAUCCCCUAAAAUGUGAAAACGGUGGCAUUAGCAGCGGAGGUGGGAUACUUUUGAAACAAUAUGGCAGAUUAAGCACUUCAAACACAAAGCUUGUGUCUACGUUGUAACGUAGGGUCACCCUCCCUCCCGGUCGGCUCCUAGGUGUCUGUCGUAAUGGUCUUCUGAACAAGAACCUGAUUGAGUCCUCUGUUACUGUACCAGUGUCAACUCUAAUCUACCUCUUCUGUCCUUUGUAUAUACAGUUCCUGGCGAAGGAGACCAGUUGGAGCCGUUGUAAUGGUGGAAUCAACUAUCCUAUGGGCAUAGCAGUAUUCAUGAGUGUGAAACCUGUGACAUCACUAAAUCACACAGCUUCCAUGUAUUCGCACAGAAGACACCCCACUAAAGCAUGACUGGAAACCCUUUUCCACAGUUUUUGUGCAGCACCGUGAUAGCAACCAAACAUGUUUUAAGGGCUAGCUCUGUAACCUUCAAAAUGGCCUCUCAUUACCCUUAAUCUCAGUAAUAAGUCAAAAUAAUAAAACAUUUUUUAGAGGCACCAAUCUGUAAUAGCAGAGCAGGCUUUCUAAACAAGUGUAUUGAGCUAUAACAAAUAAAUCUGACAGUAAUACAGGAAGGAGCUAAGUUCCGCAGAUGGGGACCAGGCACAAAUGUAAUUGAGGUGGUAAUACCCAUAGCAACCAGUCAAAUGCUAGUCAAGAAUAAAAGCACACAUCUCAUUGGUUUAUAUAGGUAAAACUGCCUUCUCUACAGAAUAUACAUCUGCAACUCACCUGACUGCUCUUGCAUUUACUAUGUAAUUUUAUUAUAUGUACUGAACCUUUUGUGGAGCCUUAUAAAUUACAAAGAACAGUUUUCAUAAAUGCUCCCCAUGGUUGAGGCAUCAGAAAAACAUGCUAGAGCAGCUUCAAAUGUUUCUCUGCUUUAUAGCUGUAAAACAUACAACUUUAUUCAAACUGAGUAACAAGGGAAUAGGAAAAAAAAAUUAUGUAUGUUGCAACACAAAGGGGCAAAUCCGAUAAGCGAGUAAUUGUUAACUCAGACCUGUUCAACUAGGUACUGCACCCCCCGCACAUUAAGCCUUAAGGGUGCACCUUUCUUCUCAGCCUCAGGAGUUACAAAGGAAAAGUCAGUGUUAAGGCACACCCUCAGGGAUUUAAGGUGAGCUCAGGGAGAUCAGAAACCUCCCGUGGAGCCGAAGGGAUUUAACGUGCAGAGAAAACCAUUGAUUCAGCAUUUUAUGUGUCACCCAAGGGUUUACUGGGCAGGGAAAAUGCCAAAUGGUCGAAUAGCUCCAGGCAUGAAAGCUGUAGGUUUUCCCACACCUAUUUGGUUAGGCCCCUAAUUUUCAUCCAAGGAAAGAGUAGCAGCUUGUAUUGUAAAAUCACUUUGUAGAAACUGACAAUUACCAUCUGUUUGGCUGCAAUGGAUUACAGAAAUUUUUCUUGUGCAAGAGUUUUCUCACCUAUAAGCUCCUUCCCCAGUGUACAGAACACAAAUGUGAUUCCAUUAAAUUGUAUGUAUUCACCGUGGGGCUAACCAUACUGAGAGCUGCUCCAAUAGGAAGGAGGUUAGAGCUAUGCAUAUGAUAACUCAUCGGAACUACAGAUUCAGUAUGAAUAGAUAUUUACAAUACAAAACAUUUCUUUGUGAAAGCUCAAGUCCCACAUCUGGCAUUUAGUUGUCAGUGGAAGCACAGCAAGCCCAAACCACCAGUGUCUUUCUCAGCCUGUUGUGUAUAGUAAAAAAGCCUGGUUACAUUUCACAUCUCUAUUCAGUAAACAUUUUAUUUAUUUGAGAAUGUUACUAAUUUAGAUACUUUAUAGCAAUUAACUUGCAUUUUAGAUUACCCAGCCCUUUCAAAAUAAAUCACACGGUAGUCAAUUAUACAACUGUUAUGGCCAAUGUAUAAAUAUACAUUUAGCUGUCUCUCUGGGCAUAUUAUGUAAGUCUGCAAUAAAAUUGUGCUUACAUGGAUUACUGAACACAGUAAGAUUGGUUUAACUAUAAAGAGCAUUUUGUAAAAUAGAUAUUACAUUCUUGUAUGCUUUAAGAAAUGCUACACAUAUGUACAGUUGCAGUUUCUAAUUGCAAAGGGAAAGCAUUUACCUGAAGUCAAGAAAGCAUUUUACUUUAUAUAUACUGUAUGUGGACAUAAGAAAAUGCUCUUUCGUAUAAAGCCAAAAACCUAUAGCUAUAGUUUUAUUAGAAUAUAAAAUAUAUAUUAUAUUUGUGCCAGUAGAAUUGUCCUCCCACUGUGGACCAAUCACUGACAUUGUAGCACUUUGAUAUAAAUAGUUUGGUUUAUUAGUAGAAUUCAUACAAUGUUUUGUAAUACAGAAAGGGGAACGUAAACAAAAUGUUCUAUUUUUUUGUUUUUGUUUCAAGAGUGAAGAUUGCUAAAUAAACAUUUACUAGAUGA
This is an RNA transcript of Pseudophryne corroboree (corroboree frog), 4231 nucleotides long. It is a transcript of the gene named PLAG1 like zinc finger 2, with no coding region annotated. NCBI's taxonomy places the organism in Eukaryota, Metazoa, Chordata, Amphibia, Anura, Myobatrachidae. The transcript is spliced from 5 exons. The record is from RefSeq and is a predicted model, not a curated record.